GAGGAGCUCCCUUUGUGCACGGGGCUUAGAAAGAGCCUGCAGUACCUGGUGAACAACUGGCUGAGCUCUGUGGAGAGCAAGUUGCAGGCCAACAGUGAGGAGGGUAGCCCCAAGCAUUGGCCCAGGAGCUACAUGUGUUUGCACUUCCAGAUGAUGUCACCAAGAAGGACAGAAGAGUUUUUCCAGAGCUGAAGCUGAAUCUGUCUGGCCUGGACAAUAACACCAUAUAUUCUUUCCUCCUGCACUUUGUGAUCUAGCUGGCCACCGCUGGAAGUGUGUGGGCAGAGAGUGGGUGUCCUGGGGUAAUCCCAAACUGCCAGCCCUAGCUCUAUCUACAUCCACUCUGACUCUCCAGACAUCAAAGGGCACUUGUUUCCUUCAUCAAAGUCAAACUCACGAAUUAGCUCAACAGAGGGUGCCAGAUCAUGUUGAACUCCUUGCAUAAAUAUGAACCUCAAAUUCCCAAAGGAACAUUUCCAGAGGGGAUGAUCACCAGCUACUUCAUUCCCCAAAUCCAGUGUACAUCUGUGAUGGCUUAACAUAACGAGGAGGUUCCAGCUCCUACAGUUAGAUACAAUCAAUUUGCAAAGACUUUUCUUUCUGCAGAGAAAAGCAGUAUUCACAAUGAUAUGAUGGAAAAACCUGGAGACAAACAGCAAUCUGAGUAUUCUUAAUGAAAAUGGCUUAUUCCUAAAACCAGUACCUUCUGUUCAACCUCCAUCCUUGAUUUGGAAGUCCUCUUUUACUUUCCUUCCCACAUGGCUGUAAAAGACACUCUGUUCUGAGGAAACACUAUUCCCCUUCCUACCCCAACUCUCCAACCUGUUCUGACAAGUCAUUUGCAUGUUAUUCAUGCUCCAAUCCCAUGACAAUUGGUCCAGCCUUGGGAUGUCUGCACAGAUCAGGAUGCUACUCAUGAGUCAAAACAGGAGUUCAUCAGUUCCUCAACCGCUGGUCUGCAAGUAGGGUACCAGCACACCAGGGUUUCAGAGAGCUGGGCUAUCUAACUGGAUGGGAUUCCAUUUUUUUUCCAAGGUCCACUGAACACUGGGCCCCUUUUAUCCAGUCUCAGGUCCUUCCUUCCCAGAAUCCCCACUAUCUGAAGAUCCUGUCAUGACCACAGAUAGUCUUGACAGCUAAUAUCAUGCAUUGGCACAAGCCCACCUUAUAAACUCAUGGAUAUCCCUGUCAUCAUCUUCUC
RNAcentral lists this long non-coding RNA (1201 nucleotides) under Homo sapiens (human). RNAcentral's name for it is "non-protein coding lnc-CDH9-10:1". The record is from RNAcentral. Lineage: Eukaryota; Metazoa; Chordata; Mammalia; Primates; Hominidae.